ACCUGGGUGGCUCAGUCGGUUAAGCAUCUGACUUCAGCUCAGGUCACGAUCUCACGGUCCGUGGGUUCGAGCCCCGCAUCGGGCU
Molecule: transfer RNA, 85 nt
Filed under: Felis catus (domestic cat)
Lineage: Eukaryota; Metazoa; Chordata; Mammalia; Carnivora; Felidae
Rfam family: tRNA
About the family: Transfer RNA (tRNA) molecules are approximately 80 nucleotides in length. Their secondary structure includes four short double-helical elements and three loops (D, anti-codon, and T loops). Further hydrogen bonds mediate the characteristic L-shaped molecular structure. tRNAs have two regions of fundamental functional importance: the anti-codon, which is responsible for specific mRNA codon recognition, and the 3' end, to which the tRNAs corresponding amino acid is attached (by aminoacyl-tRNA synthetases). tRNAs cope with the degeneracy of the genetic code in two manners: having more than one tRNA (with a specific anti-codon) for a particular amino acid; and 'wobble' base-pairing, i.e. permitting non-standard base-pairing at the 3rd anti-codon position.
Source: Rfam by way of RNAcentral